Bactrocera oleae (olive fruit fly) is the source of this 2010-nucleotide non-coding RNA. The record is from RefSeq and is a predicted model, not a curated record. NCBI's taxonomy places the organism in Eukaryota, Metazoa, Arthropoda, Insecta, Diptera, Tephritidae.
UCGAGAAUUUUUAGUAAAAUAUAGUAAUAGAUUUUUGGUGGGAUCAGACGUGUUUCAUUUUGUGUUCUCUUGACAGUGAAAUAGAGCUAUGUAAGAAUUAUCAAGAGCUGACUAUGCUCGGUUAAGUGCAACCGAAAGGAAUGGGUACUUGAGGAAACUACUUGGAGAACACGACAGUGAUUCGAGUAGGGUUUCUGAUAGAUUCAGAUUUCAGCAGAUAGAGCUAGACAUUAAAACCAACAAGGUAAUUCAGUACGUGACGAACCAGAAGAUUCUGAAGAUACAGAAGAAAUCGCUGAAGAGAAUUCAGCAGUAGAAGAAGAAGUUGAGAGUAGCGAGAGUGAGGAUGAUGACAAUGAAGUAGAAACAGCUGAGCCUGAAGGAAAAGCCAUCCAUCUUGGGGUUUUAUUGCCAAAGAUAAAACAGUGUGGAACAAAACUCUACCAACUCAGCAUCAGACCGCAGCUCUUAAUUUUGUACGCCAGCGGAGUGGAACUCAUCGGAGUACGGAAACGUUGUCAAUUUACGAGAACUUUCAAAAAAAAUUUGUAUCAACGAAAUGGUUGAUAUAAUCGUCCGUCGCACUAAGAAAAAAGCUGAAACAAUUUCCAAGAGUACAGUGCUAACCAUCCAAACUCACAGCAUCAAUGGAAGCCCGUUACGAUACCCGAAAUUUAUUCGUUCUUCGGUAUCUUGAUUUGUGCUGGAGCAAAUAAUUCGAAUACAGAUCAUACGUUUGACAUGUGGCACUCCAAUUCUUAUCCGCUGUAUCGCGCGACGAUGGGAUUGACGAAAUUUUAUAUAUAUUCCAUAAUAUUCUGCGUUUUUUGCGAUUCGACGAUGGUAAUACUCGAAGUGAACGUAAAAAAGAAAACAAGGCAGCUCCAAUUUGUGAUGUGUGGACAAUAUUGAAUUCAAAUUUAGCUCAGAUGUACAAACCAACAGCUAACUUGACGAUUGAUGAACAGCUUGAUCCAUACCGUACUGGAUUUACUCAAUAUAUUCCGUACUCAAUAUAUACAAGUAUGGUAUUAAGAUCUGGUGGAUUUGUGAUGAAGAAAACGCUUAUCCUUUGCAAGGGAUUAUGUGCACUGGUUAAAACAGAUAAUACUGCAGAAAAAAUUAGGUGAAAGAGUAGUGAAAGAAUUGGCGGCUCCGUACCGAGGUAGUGGUAGAAACAUCUGCAUGGAUAAUUUCUUUACUACUGUACCAGUUGCUAAACAUUUAUUGUCGUGGAAUAUUACCAUUCUUGGCACGCUAAAAAGAAUAAACCUUACAACCUAGCGUUAUGAGAGCGAAUAAAACACGGAGCAGUAUACGACAGUUUUUGGAUUUCACGAAAAGGUUACCAUGUGUUCCUACGUUCCUAAAAAAAUAAAGCUGUCAUUCUGAUAUAUACAAUGCAUUCAGAUAUAUCAGUUGGUGAUGACGCUAAACGAAAACCAGAAAUAAUAAAUUUUUAUAAUAAAUAUAAAGCUGGAGUUGACACAAUGGACCAAAUGGUGCGGAGAUACACUAGUCAACGACGAUCUUCGAGAUGGCCACUGGCAAUGUUCUUCAACAUGCUAGAUAUUUCUUCACUUGCGGCAUAUAUAAUUUAUUAUUAAAAUAAUAAAAUGAUUGUCAAAAAAACGACAGAACGUCGUCAAUUUAUGCGUAAACUAAUAAAGAACUAGCAUUGCCGAUGAUUGAACAUUGCACGGCGAAUCCACAAGUAAUGCGCCACUUCUCAACAAAGAUUGGCAUUGAAAGUGUAUUAGGCCAUAUACUGACGAAAAACGUCGUGAUAAAUCCGGAAGGAAAAAGUAACAGGAUCUUGUCAUGUCUGCAAUGCUUUGCCAAUAAGAAGACGGUGAAAGACACGUAAGGCCUGUGAUAAUUGUCACCAACCUGUGUGUGACGAGCACUCAGUUAAUCGUGUACAAUGUGUUCAAUGUCAUUAAUUAUAAAAAAAGUGUAAUAUUUCUUUAUUUUUUUAAUAAAAUUUAGUUGCAUUCAUUAAUUGAAAUU